RNAcentral lists this long non-coding RNA (199 nucleotides) under Hordeum vulgare. RNAcentral describes it as "long non-coding RNA (HVUL_LNC010476)". The record is from RNAcentral. Lineage: Eukaryota; Viridiplantae; Streptophyta; Magnoliopsida; Poales; Poaceae.
AUAAGAUCACUACAUGAUCUUUCAUGCUUGCUCUAUUCUCACUCUUUUGAUCAUGGCAAGAGGCAAAGCCCUUCAACUAAGACACUCUUUAUUAUAUGGCUCACGAGCAAGAAUACAUCGGGGGUGACACAAAGCAAAACUCAAAACUAAAACACUAAGACUUCUACUCUAUUAGAAAAAAGAAAACUAAAAAGGAAAA